RNAcentral lists this ribosomal RNA (301 nucleotides) under uncultured bacterium. Its description in RNAcentral is "partial 16S ribosomal RNA". It matches the Rfam family "Bacterial small subunit ribosomal RNA", at positions 509 to 807 of the family's 1533-position model. The record is from RNAcentral.
CAGUCGCCGCGGGAAUACAGAGGGUGCGAGCGUUAAUCGGAUUUACUGGGCGUAAAGCGUGCGUAGGCGGCUUCUUAAGUUGGAUGUGAAAUCCCUGAGCUUAACUUAGGAAUUGCAUUCGAUACUGGGAAGCUAGAGUAUGGGAGAGGAUGGUAGAAUUCCAGGUGUAGCGGUGAAAUGCGUAGAGAUCUGGAGGAAUACCGAUGGCGAAGGCAGCCAUCUGGCCUAAUACUGACGCUGAGGUACGAAAGCAUGGGGAGCAAACAGGAUUAGAGACCCCUGUAGUCCCUGUCUCUUAUAC